RNAcentral lists this transfer RNA (72 nucleotides) under Salmo salar (Atlantic salmon). It matches the Rfam family "tRNA". Rfam says of the family: Transfer RNA (tRNA) molecules are approximately 80 nucleotides in length. Their secondary structure includes four short double-helical elements and three loops (D, anti-codon, and T loops). Lineage: Eukaryota; Metazoa; Chordata; Actinopteri; Salmoniformes; Salmonidae. The record is from Rfam by way of RNAcentral.
UCCCGUGUGGCUCAGUUGGUAGAGCAUGGUGUUUGCAACGCCAGGGUUGUGUGUUCGAUUCCCACUGGGGAC